UUCAACAUCAGAACUUGUUUCACGCAACAUUUCCAAACGAAUCAACGUAUGGUUGGUGAGCUUGAGCUCGUAUAGAUGAAACACUAAAAACAAACAAUGCAAUAUGAAAAAUCAACAAAUGCAACAUCAAAAGCCAGCGGUUGCAAUAGUUAAACAUCUUAAAAAUCAAUCAUGCUACAUCACACAGGAUGCAUAUAACUGCAAUAUCGCACGCAUAUAUAGCACUUGCAACAUCCAAAAAUCUAUACCGUAACAACACGAGGUAACUACUACAACAUAAUUGUUGAGAAGAAAUAUCUUCACUUAUCUACAAACACUCCUCCGCUCCUUCCAUGGCCGUCGCUGAGCAUGAAACAGGGGCGAUGGGAGAGCUGGAUGCUCAGGAUGAGUCACGAAGUAGGAGCUUCAUCAUCUCCAUCGAGGAGGCUGUUGCUCAGCACCGUUGACUCCGUGUUGACACCAUCAGCUCCAAGCCACACUGGGAAUGUCGACGGCCUUGCUCGCAUCGCUAUCUACUCCUGCCAUCCUGCGUCCGGCCCACUAUCUUUACUGCAAUCCAACGACAUGGUCGAGACCAUGGCCUGCGCCAUGAGUGAAGAAGACGUCAUCCCCCUCUUCGAUUUCUUCUCCCAGUGGGGAUAGGAAGUUGUAGUCCCGUCGUCAAGAGCAGCAUGCGAGCGGUCGGUCGGUCAGACGGUG
RNAcentral lists this long non-coding RNA (699 nucleotides) under Panicum hallii. RNAcentral describes it as "long non-coding RNA (PHAL_LNC000083)". The record is from RNAcentral. Lineage: Eukaryota; Viridiplantae; Streptophyta; Magnoliopsida; Poales; Poaceae.